UCUGACAUGAUUGUGCCAUAUGGCUUUAUUUCAGGGGUGCUUCAACUACAUUUUUAAGGGGGAGCGGUGUGAUUAAUUGGAGUGAUUUAUAGAUCCUCUCAUUUCCUUCAAGGUGGAUGAUGACUAAGUUGUAAAAGCCACAAAUUUUGGUGUCCAGGUUCAUAAGGUUUUACAGUUAAUGGUCAACCAAAUGAGAAAUCUCUGCUGUGCAUUCAUGUGUGACUCCAGUGAGUGGGUGAUAACACCUAAAUUCUGUAUAGAGUACAAAUGUCCAAGCUGAAAAGGAAGUAUGUUUUAUAGGUCCUAUGUGCUUUUACCAUGCCACAUUUACCACACAUUAGUGAAGGCAAAUACAGGGAAAUGAGAGGUUUUGAAGAAACAAAUAGGUUGCGGCCCUUUUGCAAACACCAGUAACAGCUUGAAUAUUGUACCUGUGUAAAGAAUGAAACGGCAGGCUCCAGGUUAUGUUAAUGUCAUUUAUUUUAAUUUGCUCUUGAAUUUGGCUGAACGCAAUAUAUGAGAGACAGAAGGGAUGCAUGUUUUCUUCAUUUGCACCUUGGAUCUGGAAUAAUGUACAAUGUAUUCCUAAACAACCUUCUUCUCUAUGUUUUUAAGAAGUUGAAGUCAUGAAUUCAUGACAUAAACAGAACAUUUUGAAGUCAUGGACAAAACACUGCACACAACUGUCCAGAAAUGCAACAUUUAAUCCAGUAAUUCCGUUAUACCAAUGUUGUUUGAGAGAGAGAGAGAGAGAGAUGAAGAUUAAUCAUAAGUCAAAAAUUUAAGAAUAAGUAAAAACCUUCAGUUCUGUGGAUGUUAAAUCUUC
This 826-nucleotide long non-coding RNA is filed under the name Coturnix japonica (Japanese quail). RNAcentral describes it as "lncRNA (ENSCJPG00005011025.1)". The record is from RNAcentral. Lineage: Eukaryota; Metazoa; Chordata; Aves; Galliformes; Phasianidae.